UCGCCCCUCCGAAUGACAAGUUGAAUUCUGGGCGUGCUCUAGUGGGUGAAUCAGUUGAGGGGCUGCACAACCUCAGACACAGUCUCCAAGUGACUAAUCCUGGUGAUUCAGGUACCAUAGGAAUCGGAAACAGUUGCUCAAUCAGGACUUGAGCUCGGGGAGGACGAUUGGCACUGCUUGAUAUGACAGAGGCCUAUAUUUCCUUUCUACAGAUGCUUCCUCCAGAAGCUUGUUUAGGACUAGUCUUUUAUCUUCGUUUACUAUAUCUGAAACAAAUUAUUUAUUGUGGCAUUUUCGUCUUGGACAUCCUAGUUUUCAAUAUAUGCGAUAUUUGUUUCUUCAUUUA
Molecule: non-coding RNA, 346 nt
Organism: Benincasa hispida (wax gourd)
Lineage: Eukaryota; Viridiplantae; Streptophyta; Magnoliopsida; Cucurbitales; Cucurbitaceae
Source: RefSeq, a predicted model, not a curated record